This 219-nucleotide long non-coding RNA is filed under the name Suricata suricatta (meerkat). RNAcentral describes it as "lncRNA (ENSSSUG00005003712.1)". Lineage: Eukaryota; Metazoa; Chordata; Mammalia; Carnivora; Herpestidae. The record is from RNAcentral.
ACUCAAUGUUCUGGGACAAGAAGAGGAAGCAGCAGAGAGAUGGCCUAGAGGAGAAUGAAGAAACAAACACCUGGAAACCGUCAUCAUUGGGCCCAGAACAACACAGCUCAGCUCUGAAAGAUGAAAAUAGAGUUUCAUCUGGCAAGAGGGACUUAUUUUUGCCAAGCGUGAUGAAGACACAUCCACCUUACCUCGGAGAUGGGAAUGCAGUACUAAGGA